This 406-nucleotide ribosomal RNA is filed under the name uncultured bacterium. RNAcentral's name for it is "partial 16S ribosomal RNA". It matches the Rfam family "Bacterial small subunit ribosomal RNA", at positions 28 to 526 of the family's 1533-position model. The record is from RNAcentral.
GAUGAACGCUGGCGGCAGGCCUAACACAUGCAAGUCGAACGAGCGGCGGACGCGUGAGUAAUGUCUGGGGAUCUGCCUGAUAGAGGGGGAUAACUACUGGAAACGGUGGCUAAUACCGCAUACUAUCAGAUGAACCCAUAUGGGAUUAGCUAGUAGGUGGGGUAACGGCUCACCUAGGCGACGAUCCCUAGCUGGUCUGAGAGGAUGAGCAGCCACACUGGAACUGAGACACGGCCCAGACUCCUACGGGAGGCAGCAGUGGGGAAUAUUGCACAAUGGGCGCAAGCCUGAUGCAGCCAUGCCGCGUGUAUGAAGAAGGCCUUAGGGUUGUAAAGUACUUUCAGCGGGGAGGCGUUACCCGCAGAAGAAGCACCGGCUAACUCCGUGCCAGCAGCCGCGGUAAUUC